This 62-nucleotide transfer RNA is filed under the name Rugitermes sp. RNAcentral's name for it is "tRNA-Ala". RNAcentral also lists the same sequence under 1 other name. Lineage: Eukaryota; Metazoa; Arthropoda; Insecta; Blattodea; Kalotermitidae. The record is from RNAcentral.
GGGGUUGUAGUUAAUAAUAACAUUUGAGUUGCAUUCAAAAAGUACUAAUAAAGUCAUCCUCA